CACACUAUCAUUAACUGAAUCCAUAGGUUAAUGAGGCGAACCGGGGGAACUGAAACAUCUAAGUACCCCGAGGAAAAGAAAUCAACCGAGAUUCCCCCAGUAGCGGCGAGCGAACGGGGAGCAGCCCAGAGCCUGAAUCAGUGUGUGUGUUAGUGGAAGCGUCUGGAAAGGCGCGCGAUACAGGGUGACAGCCCCGUACACAAAAAUGCACAUGCUGUGAGCUCGAUGAGUAGGGCGGGACACGUGGUAUCCUGUCUGAAUAUGGGGGGACCAUCCUCCAAGGCUAAAUACUCCUGACUGACCGAUAGUGAACCAGUACCGUGAGGGAAAGGCGAAAAGAACCCCGGCGAGGGGAGUGAAAAAGAACCUGAAACCGUGUACGUACAAGCAGUGGGAGCACAGAGCAAUCUGUGUGACUGCGUACCUUUUGUAUAAUGGGUCAGCGACUUAUAUUCUGUAGCAAGGUUAACCGAAUAGGGGAGCCGAAGGGAAACCGAGUCUUAACUGGGCGUUAAGUUGCAGGGUAUAGACCCGAAACCCGGUGAUCUAGCCAUGGGCAGGUUGAAGGUUGGGUAACACUAACUGGAGGACCGAACCGACUAAUGUUGAAAAAUUAGCGGAUGACUUGUGGCUGGGGGUGAAAGGCCAAUCAAACCGGGAGAUAGCUGGUUCUCCCCGAAAGCUAUUUAGGUAGCGCCUCGUGAAUUCAUCUCCGGGGGUAGAGCACUGUUUCGGCAAGGGGGUCAUCCCGACUUACCAACCCGAUGCAAACUGCGAAUACCGGAGAAUGUUAUCACGGGAGACACACGGCGGGUGCUAACGUCCGUCGUGAAGAGGGAAACAACCCAGACCGCCAGCUAAGGUCCCAAAGUCAUGGUUAAGUGGGAAACGAUGUGGGAAGGCCCAGACAGCCAGGAUGUUGGCUUAGAAGCAGCCAUCAUUUAAAGAAAGCGUAAUAGCUCACUGGUCGAGUCGGCCUGCGCGGAAGAUGUAACGGGGCUAAACCAUGCACCGAAGCUGCGGCAGCGACACUAUGUGUUGUUGGGUAGGGGAGCGUUCUGUAAGCCUGUGAAGGUGUACUGUGAGGUAUGCUGGAGGUAUCAGAAGUGCGAAUGCUGACAUAAGUAACGAUAAAGCGGGUGAAAAGCCCGCUCGCCGGAAGACCAAGGGUUCCUGUCCAACGUUAAUCGGGGCAGGGUGAGUCGACCCCUAAGGCGAGGCCGAAAGGCGUAGUCGAUGGGAAACAGGUUAAUAUUCCUGUACUUGGUGUUACUGCGAAGGGGGGACGGAGAAGGCUAUGUUGGCCGGGCGACGGUUGUCCCGGUUUAAGCGUGUAGGCUGGUUUUCCAGGCAAAUCCGGAAAAUCAAGGCUGAGGCGUGAUGACGAGGCACUACGGUGCUGAAGCAACAAAUGCCCUGCUUCCAGGAAAAGCCUCUAAGCAUCAGGUAACAUCAAAUCGUACCCCAAACCGACACAGGUGGUCAGGUAGAGAAUACCAAGGCGCUUGAGAGAACUCGGGUGAAGGAACUAGGCAAAAUGGUGCCGUAACUUCGGGAGAAGGCACGCUGAUAUGUAGGUGAAGCGACUUGCUCGUGGAGCUGAAAUCAGUCGAAGAUACCAGCUGGCUGCAACUGUUUAUUAAAAACACAGCACUGUGCAAACACGAAAGUGGACGUAUACGGUGUGACGCCUGCCCGGUGCCGGAAGGUUAAUUGAUGGGGUUAGCGGUAACGCGAAGCUCUUGAUCGAAGCCCCGGUAAACGGCGGCCGUAACUAUAACGGUCCUAAGGUAGCGAAAUUCCUUGUCGGGUAAGUUCCGACCUGCACGAAUGGCGUAAUGAUGGCCAGGCUGUCUCCACCCGAGACUCAGUGAAAUUGAACUCGCUGUGAAGAUGCAGUGUACCCGCGGCAAGACGGAAAGACCCCGUGAACCUUUACUAUAGCUUGACACUGAACAUUGAGCCUUGAUGUGUAGGAUAGGUGGGAGGCUUAGAAGUGUGGACGCCAGUCUGCAUGGAGCCGACCUUGAAAUACCACCCUUUAAUGUUUGAUGUUCUAACGUUGGCCCCUGAUCGGGGUUGCGGACAGUGUCUGGUGGGUAGUUUGACUGGGGCGGUCUCCUCCUAAAGAGUAACGGAGGAGCACGAAGGUUGGCUAAUCCUGGUCGGACAUCAGGAGGUUAGUGCAAUGGCAUAAGCCAGCUUGACUGCGAGCGUGACGGCGCGAGCAGGUGCGAAAGCAGGUCAUAGUGAUCCGGUGGUUCUGAAUGGAAGGGCCAUCGCUCAACGGAUAAAAGGUACUCCGGGGAUAACAGGCUGAUACCGCCCAAGAGUUCAUAUCGACGGCGGUGUUUGGCACCUCGAUGUCGGCUCAUCACAUCCUGGGGCUGAAGUAGGUCCCAAGGGUAUGGCUGUUCGCCAUUUAAAGUGGUACGCGAGCUGGGUUUAGAACGUCGUGAGACAGUUCGGUCCCUAUCUGCCGUGGGCGCUGGAGAACUGAGGGGGGCUGCUCCUAGUACGAGAGGACCGGAGUGGACGCAUCACUGGUGUUCGGGUUGUCAUGCCAAUGGCACUGCCCGGUAGCUAAAUGCGGAAGAGAUAAGUGCUGAAAGCAUCUAAGCACGAAACUUGCCCCGAGAUGAGUUCUCCCUGACUCCUUGAGAGUCCUGAAGGAACGUUGAAGACGACGACGUUGAUAGGCCGGGUGUGUAAGCGCAGCGAUGCGUUGAGCUAACCGGUACUAAUGAACCGUGAGGCUUAACCUU
RNAcentral lists this ribosomal RNA (2765 nucleotides) under Escherichia coli. RNAcentral's name for it is "partial 23S ribosomal RNA". It matches the Rfam family "Bacterial large subunit ribosomal RNA". The record is from RNAcentral. Lineage: Bacteria; Pseudomonadati; Pseudomonadota; Gammaproteobacteria; Enterobacterales; Enterobacteriaceae.